Molecule: ribosomal RNA, 473 nt
Filed under: Belostoma plebejum
Lineage: Eukaryota; Metazoa; Arthropoda; Insecta; Hemiptera; Belostomatidae
Description: partial 16S ribosomal RNA
Rfam family: Bacterial large subunit ribosomal RNA
Source: RNAcentral
UCGCCUGUUUUACAAAAACAUGUCCUUUUGAAUUUUAUUUAAGGUCUGACCUGCCCUAUGAGAAAUUAAAUGGCCGCGGUAUUUUAACCGUGCAAAGGUAGCAUAGUCACUUGUCUCUUAAUUGGAGGCUUGAAUGAAGGGUUGGACGAGAUAUAAACUUUCUUUAUUAUAUAAAGUUGAAUUUGACUUUUGAGUCAAAAGGCUUAAAUUUAUUUAUAGGACGAGAAGACCCUAUAGAAUUUUAUAUUUUUAUACAAGUAGCUUAUUUAUUGAUGAUGAGGCUUUUUAUAUAAAAAUAUUUUGUUGGGGCGAUGGGAAGAUUUUUUUAACUCUUUUUUAUUUAAAUCAUUGAUAUAUGUUUUUUUGAUCCUUUUUUAGAGAUUAAAAGAUUAAAUUACCUUAGGGAUAACAGCGUAAUUCUUUUGGAGAGUUCUUAUCGAUAAAGGAGUUUGCGACCUCGAUGUGGAUUAAAA